AACGAACGCUGGCGGCAGGCUUAACACAUGCAAGUCGAACGGGUGUAGCAAUACAUCAGUGGCAGACGGGUGAGUAACACGUGGGAACCUUCCUAGGGGUACGGAACAACUCAGGGAAACUUGAGCUAAUACCGUAUACGUCCGUGAGGAGAAAGAUUUAUCGCCCUUAGACGGGCCCGCGUCGGAUUAGCUAGUUGGUGGGGUAACGGCCUACCAAGGCGACGAUCCGUAGCUGAUCUGGGAGGAUGAUCAGCCACACUGGGACUGAGACACGGGCCAGACUCCUACGGGAGGCAGCAGUGGGGAAUCUUGGACAAUGGGCGCAAGCCUGAUCCAGCCAUGCCGCGUGAGUGAAGAAGGCCUUCGGGUUGUAAAGCUCUUUUGCCAGGGACGAUAAUGACGGUACCUGGAGAAUAAGCCCCGGCAAACUUCGUGCCAGCCGCCGCAGUAA
RNAcentral lists this ribosomal RNA (451 nucleotides) under uncultured bacterium. RNAcentral's name for it is "partial 16S ribosomal RNA". It matches the Rfam family "Bacterial small subunit ribosomal RNA", at positions 29 to 523 of the family's 1533-position model. The record is from RNAcentral.